Long non-coding RNA from Mandrillus leucophaeus (drill), 404 nucleotides. RefSeq lists it as uncharacterized. The record is from RefSeq and is a predicted model, not a curated record. NCBI's taxonomy places the organism in Eukaryota, Metazoa, Chordata, Mammalia, Primates, Cercopithecidae. The transcript is spliced from 2 exons.
AUACUAGGCUAGGACAAGGGGUAGAGGCAGAGAGAGAGAGAGGAGCCACCCUGAGAAGGAAGAGACCAGGGAGACCCUUUCUAUGUCGGUGCCUUGACAUGUGGCACUUUGUGCUCCAGGAUCGCCCCCAGAGGAACUGCUAUCACUUUCAAAUGACCUCGUCUUUUCUAGGGCCUUCCGAACUGAUCAUCUCUCCCUUCUGAUACAAGACGGUCUUCCCUGGAAGACCACUGCACACCUUCUAGUAACACUGGGACCCUGGAUAAUAUUCUACUUUGAAGAACACCAAUAGACAGAAGCAAGAGGACUACUUUUUAAUGCUAAAGUAUGCAAAACCUGCCACUUCACUGGCAAGCCAUGAAUUAUUCAUAAAUAUAGACUUGGUUAAUAUCUUUAAACAUGCA